Procambarus clarkii (red swamp crayfish) is the source of this 588-nucleotide long non-coding RNA. RefSeq lists it as uncharacterized. NCBI's taxonomy places the organism in Eukaryota, Metazoa, Arthropoda, Malacostraca, Decapoda, Cambaridae. The record is from RefSeq and is a predicted model, not a curated record.
CUCGGACACAACUUCUGUUCCAUCAGAGGUUCCUUGUCACACCUGGCAAUAUGAAGACUGUGUUGGGCCUCGUGGCUGGACUCUGCCUCCUGCUGGUGAUGCUGCAGGUAGCUCCUGCGUCUGGCGCCGUGGAGCUGUUCUCGUUCGUGCCGGAGUCCCGGGUGGACAGAUCUACCAGGUGCUGUGCCUGCCCCUUUCGUCCGCCUGUCAUCAACUUCACAACAUCAGGACAUCCUCCCCAAGCUGCCAGAGCCAGUUUCGGUGGACCGAGUCGUUGUUGUCGUUGUAGGAACGUUGGGUAGUGCUCUAAAUACGCCCUCUGUCCUCUGUCGUUCUCCAAAAUGUUUACAAGCCUACUUGUUGCUAUCAUAUGGGUUGGAUAAGAUGAUCUUAUCCUCAGAUGAGGGACCAUGGCCAUCAAUAUACAGAAUUAGCAAGUUAGUUGAUAGGGCUUGGAUGUCUACUAGAUAGUACCUGUGGUGACCAUCUCGUAGAUAGCACCUGUGGUGACCUUCUAGAGUUUCUAUACAGCUGUAUUCUCAGUGAUCACGUACUCUAUUUUUGUGAAUAAAAUGGAUGAAAAUGUAA